This 889-nucleotide long non-coding RNA is filed under the name Elaeis guineensis (African oil palm). Its description in RNAcentral is "long non-coding RNA (EGUI_LNC010756)". Lineage: Eukaryota; Viridiplantae; Streptophyta; Magnoliopsida; Arecales; Arecaceae. The record is from RNAcentral.
CCUCAUCGGAUGCUUGAUUUCAUCACUCUCGAAUAUAUUUGCCGUGGUAGCCUCUUCAGAUCAAGGCAUCAAUCUUGUCCUUGGGCUGGAGGCAUUCCUCGAUGUCGUGGCCAUAAUCACGAUGGAAGCAGUGGUACUUCCUCUUGCUUCUCCUAUCCAAAGGAGACUUCAUCGGCUCAAGUUGUCAUAAAUACCUUUGACCCUCGAUCUCCAUCAAAAUCUAAGAUCAAAAAGCGCAUCAAUCUUGUCCUUGGGCUGGAGGCAUUCCUCGAUGUCGUGGCCAUAAUCACGAUGGAAGCAGUGGUCCUUCCUCUUGCUUCUCCUAUCCAAAGGAGAUUUCAUCGGCUCAAGUUGUCAUAAAUACCUUUGACCCUCGAUCUCCAUCAAAAUCUAAGAUCAAAAAACAGACAGAGGAGUGUAGCUAUUGAACCACCGGGAUGGACUGUUCGAUUGGUAGCUCUUUUAUGGUCGGAAAGAUUUUCUUUCGACUUGGACCACUAGAGGAUUUUUUCAGUCUUUCUUCUUGUCAGAGAUCUUCUUUCUUUCCACCUGCCUGCGGAGCUCCCGGGUUUCUUCCCUCUGCCGUAUCUCCAGCUUGGACUAGCAGGUCAGCAUAGUCCCUCAAAAACUCUUGUUAGGGAAGAAGACAAGACGUUCAUUCUGCAAUCCUCGCUUGAGCACUGACAUCGCCACUAACUCGUUGAAGUUUCACACCUCGAGCAUGAUGGCAUUGAAGCAUGCAAUGUAUUCACAUAGUGAGUUGGCCUCUUCUUGUUGGAGAGAGAAGACUAUCAGAGUUUCUUGGUUGAGGUCAGCAGUUGCUAAAGUGAGUAACGAACAAUCUACCGAGCUGAUCAAAUGAAUGAAUGGACCCUAGUUGGAGUCCAAA